UACGUAGGGGGCAAGCGUUGUCCGGAUUCAUUGGGCGUAAAGAGCGUGUAGGCGGCCAGGCAGGUCAGCUGUGAAAACUCGAGGCUCAACCUCGAGACGCCGGUUGAAACCAUCUGGCUAGAGUCCGGAAGAGGAGAGUGGAAUUCCUGGUGUAGCGGUGAAAUGCGCAGAUAUCAGGAAGAACACCCGUGGCUAAGGCGGCUCUCUAGUACGGUACUGACGCUGAGACGCGAAAGCGUGGGGAGCGAACAGG
Molecule: ribosomal RNA, 253 nt
Filed under: uncultured bacterium
Lineage: Bacteria
Description: partial 16S ribosomal RNA
Rfam family: Bacterial small subunit ribosomal RNA
Source: RNAcentral